RNAcentral lists this ribosomal RNA (253 nucleotides) under uncultured bacterium. RNAcentral describes it as "partial 16S ribosomal RNA". It matches the Rfam family "Bacterial small subunit ribosomal RNA", at positions 524 to 776 of the family's 1533-position model. The record is from RNAcentral.
UACGAAGGGGGCUAGCGUUGUUCGGAAUUACUGGGCGUAAAGCGCGCGCAGGCGGCUAUCCAAGUCAGUGGUGAAAGCCCGGAGCUCAACUCCGGAACUGCCAUUGAAACUGUUUAGCUUGAGGACGAGAGAGGUGAGUGGAAUUCCCAGUGUAGAGGUGAAAUUCGUAGAUAUUGGGAAGAACACCGGUGGCGAAGGCGGCUCACUGGCUCGUAUCUGACGCUCAGGCGCGACGGCGUGGGGAUCAAACAGG